RNAcentral lists this ribosomal RNA (929 nucleotides) under uncultured bacterium. RNAcentral describes it as "bacterial SSU rRNA". It matches the Rfam family "Bacterial small subunit ribosomal RNA", at positions 60 to 1002 of the family's 1533-position model. The record is from RNAcentral.
AGUCGAACGAGCGAGAGAGAGCUUGCUUUCUCGAGCGAGUGGCGAACGGGUGAGUAACGCGUGAGGAACCUGCCUCAAAGAGGGGGACAACAGUUGGAAACGACUGCUGAUACCGCAUAAGCCCACGGUGCCGCAUGGCACAGAGGGAAAAGGAGCAAUCCGCUUUGAGAUGGCCUCGCGUCCGAUUAGCUAGUUGGUGAGGUAACGGCCCACCAAGGCAACGAUCGGUAGCCGGACUGAGAGGUUGAACGGCCACAUUGGGACUGAGACACGGCCCAGACUCCUACGGGAGGCAGCAGUGGGGAAUAUUGCACAAUGGGGGAAACCCUGAUGCAGCGACGCCGCGUGGAGGAAGAAGGUCUUCGGAUUGUAAACUCCUGUUGUUGGGGAAGAUAAUGACGGUACCCAACAAGGAAGUGACGGCUAACUACGUGCCAGCAGCCGCGGUAAAACGUAGGUCACAAGCGUUGUCCGGAAUUACUGGGUGUAAAGGGAGCGCAGGCGGGAAGACAAGUUGGAAGUGAAAUCUAUGGGCUCAACCCAUAAACUGCUUUCAAAACUGUUUCUCUUGAGUAGUGCAGAGGUAGGCGGAAUUCCCGGUGUAGCGGUGGAAUGCGUAGAUAUCGGGAGGAACACCAGUGGCGAAGGCGGCCUACUGGGCACCAACUGACGCUGAGGCUCGAAAGUGUGGGUAGCAAACAGGAUUAGAUACCCUGGUAGUCCACACCGUAAACGAUGAUUACUAGGUGUUGGAGGAUUGACCCCUUCAGUGCCGCAGUUAACACAAUAAGUAAUCCACCUGGGGAGUACGACCGCAAGGUUGAAACUCAAAGGAAUUGACGGGGGCCCGCACAAGCAGUGGAGUAUGUGGUUUAAUUCGACGCAACGCGAAGAACCUUACCAAGUCUUGACAUCCCUUGACAGGCAUA